RNAcentral lists this ribosomal RNA (334 nucleotides) under uncultured bacterium. RNAcentral describes it as "bacterial SSU rRNA". It matches the Rfam family "Bacterial small subunit ribosomal RNA", at positions 32 to 342 of the family's 1533-position model. The record is from RNAcentral.
AAUCAACGCUGGCGGCGUGCCUCAGACAUGCAAGUCGAACGCGAAAGUCCCCUUCGGGGGACGAAGUAGAGUGGCGCACGGGUGAGUAACACGUAGGUAAUCUACCUUCGGAUGGGGAAGUAACAACCGGAACGGUUGCUAAUACCGCAUAAUGCAGCGGCACCUAAUGGUGACAGUUGUUAAAGCGGGGGAUCGUAAGACCUCGCGUCUGAAGAGGAGCCUGCGGCGGAUUAGCUAGNGGUUAAGGUAAUGGCUUACCAAGGCUACGAUCCGUAACCGGCCUGUAGAGGGGCGGUCGGUCACACUGACACUGACAUACGGGUCAGACUCCUAC